UUGCCAUUUAAGAGCAUGCUAUUGGCUAGAUACUGUAGAUUCUUGAGGAAUGGUUUAGUCAUCAGCGGAAGUGAAACUUUGCACAGCAACUUUGAAACUUCAAAAGCAUUUGAAAGUUUGAAAUAUGAAACUAUGACAUUUGUUCACCCACACACUAAAUUAGCAUGUGCUUAUUUGUGCAAAGCAUUAUUACAACUAUAUCCACUAGAGAGCACCCCUGAGUAUUGGUAAUACAUUUAACCAAUAGAGGGCAGUAUUGUCCCAUUUACAUGUUGUGUGCCUAUAAAAUAUAUUCUUGUCCCAUUAAAUAAAGUGCACAAGAUGUUCAAUACUGCAGGUUAUUUAGUACCUCAAUACAGAUAGUAUUGAGCAGGAGCUCCCUCUGACCUUAAUGUAUGCAUGACCAUAUGUAUAUUGGUCUUUAGGCAAUCAUAUGAUGAUUAUGUACACAUUAUGUUGAAAAUAACUGCUUUUAAGUUAUGUUAGGUGCUGUCAACAUCAGCAUGCUCAAAUCCUUUGGAGACUCAUCUCUUCUGAGAUCACGUUCGGCUCUUGCUUGGAGACACUCAUCAGAUAUCACCGAUAGUUCAGCUUAACUGUUUAUGGAGCCAGAGUUUGUGUCAGUGCACAUAUAGAAUGGACCACCAGUGGAUCAUGAGGAAAUAUUUGUUCAGAGACAACAUAUUAACCAUUGAAGGACGGAAAUUGGACUAUUUCAUGGGAAAUAUCAGCACGCU
Sardina pilchardus (European sardine) is the source of this 737-nucleotide long non-coding RNA. RefSeq lists it as uncharacterized. NCBI's taxonomy places the organism in Eukaryota, Metazoa, Chordata, Actinopteri, Clupeiformes, Clupeidae. The record is from RefSeq and is a predicted model, not a curated record. The transcript is spliced from 3 exons.